Molecule: ribosomal RNA, 977 nt
Filed under: Clinostomum complanatum
Lineage: Eukaryota; Metazoa; Platyhelminthes; Trematoda; Strigeidida; Clinostomidae
Description: SSU rRNA
Rfam family: Eukaryotic small subunit ribosomal RNA
Source: RNAcentral
AUGUCUAAGUACAUACCUUUAAACGGUGAAACCGCGAAUGGCUCAUUAAAUCAGCUAUGGUUCCUUAGAUCGUACACACUACAUGGAUAACUGUAGUAAUUCUAGAGCUAAUACAUGCCACUAUGCCCUGACCCGCAAGGGAAUGGGUGGAUUUAUUAGAACAGAACCAACCGGGGAUAGCUUCGGCUGUUCCUGUUGUACUCUGUGAUGACUCUGGAUAACUUUACUGAUCGCAGUCGGCCUUGUGUCGGCGACGGAUCUUUCAAAUGUCUGCCCUAUCAAUUUGAUGGUAGGUGAUCUGCCUACCAGGAUAAUAACGGGUAACGGGGAAUCAGGGUUCGAUUCCGGAGAGGGAGCCUGAGAAACGGCUACCACAUCCAAGGAUGGCAGCAGGCGCGAAAAUUACCCACUCCCGGCACGGGGAGGUAGUGACGAAAAAUACGGAUACGGGACUCAAACGAGGCUCCGUAAUUCGAAUGAGUACAAUUUAAAUCCUUUAACGAGGACCAAUUGGAGGGCAAGUCUGGUGCCAGCAGCCGCGGUAACUCCAGCUCCAAAAGCGUAUAUUAAAGUUGCUGCAGUUAAAAAGCUCGUAGUUGGAUCUGGGUUGUGCGUUCACGCGCCUUUACUUGUUUAUCAGACUCGGUAAUACCCGGGCUGGUGUUCGAGUUGGUGUAGUGGGCGUGCUGCCUUUCAGCCGUGUCUGUGUAAACGGGUGCUGACUGGGUUGAUGGGCUUGUCUUGUUAACCUGUUGGCAUGCUUCUAGAUGCCCUUUACCGGGUGUUGGGAGCGGACGGCAUCUUUACUUUGAACAAAUUUGAGUGCUCAAAGCAGGCCUGUGGGCCUGAAAAUUCUUGCAUGGAAUAAUGGAAUAGGACUUCGGUUCUAUUUUGUUGGUUUUCGGAUCCGAAGUAAUGGUUAAGAGGGACAGACGGGGGCAUUUGUAUGGCGGUGUGAGAGGUGAAAUUCUGGGAUC